Molecule: ribosomal RNA, 520 nt
Filed under: Ceratobasidium sp. AG-V
Lineage: Eukaryota; Fungi; Basidiomycota; Agaricomycetes; Cantharellales; Ceratobasidiaceae
Description: eukaryotic LSU rRNA
Rfam family: 5.8S ribosomal RNA (bases 112-265)
Source: RNAcentral
AAGGGGGAUUUUUUUUUUCCUUGAAAAAAUUAAGAACCCUGCUGUUUACUUAAUUCAUACAAACUCAAAUUAUUUUAAAAUGAAUGUAAUUGAUGUAACGCAUUUAAUACUAAGUUUCAACAACGGAUUUUUUGGCUCUCGCAUCGAUGAAGAACGCAGCGAAAUGCGAUAAGUAAUGUGAAUUGCAGAAUUCAGUGAAUCAUUGAAUCUUUGAACGCCCCUUGCGCUCCUUGGUAUUCCUUGGAGCAUGCCUGUUUGAGUAUCAUGAAAUUUUCAAAGUAAAUUUUUUGUUAAUUCAAUUGGUUUUUACUUUGGUNUUGGAGGUUUUUUGCAGCUUCACAUCUGCUCCUCUUUGUGCAUUAGCUGGAUCUCAGUGUUAUGCUUGGUUCCACUCAGCGUGAUAAGUUAUCUAUCGCUGAGGACACUGUAAAAGGUGGCCAAGGUAAAUGCAGAUGAACCGCUUCUAACAGUCCAUUUAAUUGGACAAUAUUAUUUAUGAUCUGAUCUCAAAUCAGGUAUG